ACAAGGAGAAUCCAACUAUUUAAUUAAAACAAAGCAUCGCAAUGGUCCUUAUAAAUAUUGAUGCAAUGUGAUUUUUAUCCAAUGCUUUGAAUGUUAAAGUAAAGAAAUUCAACCAAGUGUGGAUAAACGGAAGGAGUAACAAUGUCUCUCUUAAGAUAGUCAAAUACCUUGUCAUUUAAUUAACAACAUGAAUGAAUUAAUGAGAUUCUC
Molecule: non-coding RNA, 210 nt
Filed under: Physcomitrium patens
Lineage: Eukaryota; Viridiplantae; Streptophyta; Bryopsida; Funariales; Funariaceae
Description: Physcomitrella patens Eukaryotic large subunit ribosomal RNA
Rfam family: Eukaryotic large subunit ribosomal RNA
Source: Rfam by way of RNAcentral